RNAcentral lists this microRNA (20 nucleotides) under Tribolium castaneum (red flour beetle). Its description in RNAcentral is "tca-miR-3898-3p". The record is from miRBase by way of RNAcentral. Lineage: Eukaryota; Metazoa; Arthropoda; Insecta; Coleoptera; Tenebrionidae.
UAUGAACCGGGAUGUUACUU